This 332-nucleotide ribosomal RNA is filed under the name uncultured Glomeromycotina. RNAcentral's name for it is "eukaryotic LSU rRNA". Lineage: Eukaryota; Fungi; Glomeromycota. The record is from RNAcentral.
CAGUCAUACCAACGGGAAAUCAACCUUUUGAGCUCGGUCUCGUGGGUUUUGAAGAGUUUCAAAGCCUUCGGAUUCGCGGGAUUGGGACCUCUUGGUGUACUUUUUCGACCGGUUAGUCAACAUCGGUUUUGAAUGUCAUAAAAUGACUGGAGGAAUGUAGCUUCGAUCUCGUAUUGAAGUGUUAUAGCCUUUGGUAGAUGUGAUGUUUGAGACCGAGGAUUGCAACGGAUACCCUUCAGGGCUAUUCGUCUGAUCUCUGAUACGUUGCCCUGAUGUUGAAAGCUUGCUUAUGAUGUUAGGGUAUUACGGUCAAAAGGUUAGAACGAAUUACA